CCCGGGCCGCGGGCGCGCUGGGAGGAAGGAAGGGCCCAGGGUGCAGGUGACUCCGGCAAUGGCGCGGGGGCGGAGGAUGCGGGCGGCCGGGCGUGGCACGACUCGCCCAGGCUCCGCUUCCCGACCCGGCCCCGGAGCGAUGGGUCCGCUAGGGCUCGGCGCCCUGAUUUGGCGGGGACCGGGGCAAAGCACCCAGUACUAAGGACUCAGCGAGUCCCACUCGCCAAGAGUCGAUUUUCAUCCUCACCACAGACUUGGGAGGGAGGCAUCAUUUUGCUAAUGAGAAAACGGAGGCUCAGAGGGGUGAGCCGAUUUGCCCGAGGUCACACAGGAAGAGGCGGAAUUCCUAGCGAGUAAGCUGGACACAAAAACUGCCGAGACAAGAGCUGGUGAACUUGCUCACACUACAUCGUGUUUGACUGACAAGGCUCCCAGGGCUCAGCACCUUUGAAGGUGUGCACGUCAUCACCCUAAAGUCAAACCACGGGCGCCAGCUGGAGGGGGUGCAGACCACAGAUGGGAAGACUGGACCGCUCGAAGUUACAGCACUGCCGUUCGAAGCCACGCAAGAAAUCGGGGCAGGGACGGGGGCAGCAUGGGUGCCGGGUGGAGGUGCAGAGAGAGCACUGGGUGGUUCCUGGGCCCUGGGUUCUAGUCCCAGUCCAGCUAGCCACUGACUGUGUAACCUGGGACGACUCCCCUGCCUCCAUUUCCUCAUCUGCACAGUGAGGGUUUGGGCAGAAUUCCCCCAGCUUUGACUCAUGGCAGGGCCCUACUUGGGGGCUCCAUGCUGCCCAGUGGAUGCUCCCUGCCACCCCUGGCUCUUCAGGAGGCAGCAAGGGGAAGAGCAGGAUGGGAAAACACAGCCCCAAACAGUCUGUCUCCUCGUCCCCCACCUCCCACUGCCCCACGGCCCUCAACUCUGAUCUCACCUCUCCGGAGGCUGAGGGUGACGAGAACAGUCUGUUUGGCAGGUCACGGGGAGAGGCGGGCAGAGCUGUGCUCACCAGCUGCAGCCAGGCCUCAGAGCAGCAUCCGUAGGUCCCACCCCCGCACAUAUCUCUCCCGCCUCCAGGACCCUGGAGACCCUCCAGGCCUGGCUGACUGGACAUAUCCUCAGCUGUCUGACUCCUGCUCCUGGAAGCCCUGCUCUUUCAGCCUGGCCUGGCCCUUUCAAACCGGAAGGAUCUCUUCCCACAGAGAUCACUGGGGCCAAACCAUCAUUUGCCCAGGGAAAGACAUUGACCUUUUCAGUCCCAGCAAAUGAGAAGCAUGGCCGAGGGUUCUGACCCCAGGAUCGCCCACCUACCCAGGUCCCCAAGCCAGAAGGUGGCUCCUGCAGAGCCCCUCUUCUUAAGGCCCCACCAUGCACACAGAUGACCCCAUGGCAAUGCCAACUUUGGUCUGGAUGAUUCUAGGGCUCUUCUGAGGAACGAAGCCCAUCUGCAACCUGCUUCACCCUCCCAUCCCCACCGUGUGUACCCACACCCAUGACCCAACUACCGAGUCUGCCUGCUUCUGGUCAGUCAGGGGGUCUUGGCCUCUGCUUGGUUCUGACUCCUCAGGCUCCUCUGGUUGGAACUGGAGAUUAAAAAAAGAACACAGCUUAGCCCAACUUAUUCUCCAGGGUGUAUGCAUCUGUCCACCUCAUCCAUCCAUUCUAUCAUCUGUCCAUGCAACACCCAUCUAACGUCCAGCAUCAGUAGAUCCAUGUAUCCAUCCAACCAUCCAGUGUCUAUCACAUGACUCACCCUCUCAUGUAUCCAUCAACCAUUGUCUAUCACCCAUUCAUGUAUCUACCCUCCAUUGAUCCAUCACGUAUCCAUUUACCCAAUACCUAUAUAUCCUUCUCUCCAUCCAUCAUCCAUCUACCCAUAUCUCCAACAUCUGUCCACUAUCUGUCAUCCGACAUUCAUCCAUCCAUGCCACAUCUAUUCAUCCAUAUUCCACCCAACGUUCAUCCAUCCAUCACCUAAGCAACAUCCAUCAUAUAUCCACCACCACCAUAUAUUCAUCACCCAGCUAUCCAUCCGUCAUCACCCAUCUGUCAUCCAUCCAAAAGGUGUCUAUUAUUCAUUCAACAUGCAUCAUUGAUCCAUCACCGGUUCACACAUUCACCCUCCAUUCAUCUAUUGUCCACCCACUGACCCCUGUGUCCUCCAUCUUGCAUGCAUCCACUGAGCUGUCCCCUCCUUUAUGUCAGUCCCUGGGCCAGAGCUAGAGUUACAGAGAUAAAGCAGGUAGAGAUCCUGCCUCUGUGGAGCUUAUGGGGAAAUGACAACCCCAUUAGAUGGAUGUUGCAUGGACAAAUGGAAGCAAAACUGCCAAGCCCAGAAGGGGACCAUUACUAGGAGUGACUGUUCAGGGAAGGCUUUUCAGGACAGGGAGCCUGACCUAAGACUUCGACAAUGAACAGGCGUUUGGUGGCUGAACAGGGAAGGGAAGAGCAUGUGCAAAGGCAGGGAUAUGUGCUCACAGGCCCUGCAGCCAGCUCAGCACCAAUGAGGCAAAUCGGGAGUGGAAGGAAGGGAAGCCGGCCUUGAGUGCCAUGCCAAGGACUUUUUUUUUUUUUUUGAGAUGGAGUCUCGCUCUGUCACUCAGGCUGGAGUUGCAGUGAGCCGAGAUUGCGCGAUUGCACUCCAGCCUGGGCAACAAGAGCGAAACUCC
Pongo pygmaeus (Bornean orangutan) is the source of this 2667-nucleotide long non-coding RNA. RefSeq lists it as uncharacterized. The transcript is spliced from 4 exons. The record is from RefSeq and is a predicted model, not a curated record. NCBI's taxonomy places the organism in Eukaryota, Metazoa, Chordata, Mammalia, Primates, Hominidae.